This 182-nucleotide ribosomal RNA is filed under the name uncultured bacterium. RNAcentral describes it as "16S ribosomal RNA". It matches the Rfam family "Bacterial small subunit ribosomal RNA", at positions 338 to 512 of the family's 1533-position model. The record is from RNAcentral.
CCUACGGGAGGCAGCAGUCGAGAAUAAUUCACAAUGGGGGCAACCCUGAUGGUGCAACGCCGCGUGGAGGAUGACGGUCUUCGGAUUGUAAACUCCUGUCAUCUGGGAGUAAGGCAUGGUUGUGAAUAGCAAACAUGAUUGAUAGUACCAGAAGAGGAAGGGACGGCUAACUUCGUGCCAGC